RNAcentral lists this ribosomal RNA (328 nucleotides) under uncultured eukaryote. RNAcentral describes it as "partial 18S ribosomal RNA". It matches the Rfam family "Eukaryotic small subunit ribosomal RNA", at positions 1470 to 1796 of the family's 1831-position model. The record is from RNAcentral.
CCCUUAGAUGUUCUGGGCCGCACGCGCGCUACACUGACAGAGCCAGCGAGUAUACACCUUGGCCGGAAGGUCUGGGUAAUCUUGUGAAACUCUGUCGUGCUGGGGAUAGAGCAUUGCAAUUAUUGCUCUUCAACGAGGAAUUCCUAGUAAGCGUGAGUCAUCAGCUCGCGUUGAUUACGUCCCUGCCCUUUGUACACACCGCCCGUCGCUACUACCGAUUGAAUGGCUUAGUGAGGUCUUGAGAUUGGCUUCGGGGAGCCGGCAACGGCACCCUGUUGCUGAGAACUUGAUCAAACUUGGUCAUUUAGAGGAAGUAAAANUCGUAACA